ACUUUGUAGAUGAGGACACCAAGGCUCAGAGCGUUCAGUGACCAUUGUGGAUAUGAGAAGCAUUAGAGAAGUUAGAUGUGGACCCUGACAUUCAUAGAAAGAGUCCAAAAACAUCAAUGAGAGCACAUUAGGGCUAGUAACCAGCUUCCAAUAGGAAGCAGAGGCGAAAUUUGGGCGUGAGGGGACGAUGCAAGGGUGGAUCACAGAUCAAGAGGAUGCUGGUGUUGGUCAAAGUUGUGAGGUUGAUACGAUGUGUUGCAAAGAUCUGCAUAAUGUGUUUCAGGUUUCAUCCGGAGUAAAACAACUCGUCUGACCAGAAGAGUCCUUGCUUGAGGACUGCAAAUGCUGACGGCCUGGGUAAACACUACAUUUAUUCAGGCAUGCUCUAUCUUGAACAAGUGUCUAGUUAGUCUCCACAAAACUGCAUUUUGUACCAGGAACUCUAAAGCCUUUGGUGACUCACGAGCUAUAUGUGAGAAACUUUGGAGUGAUUGCUGUUGUUCACCAUAGCCAAUUAUCCUCACUGGGAGACCUCCUUCCUUGCAGUUAGAUUGGACCAUGUGACAAGUUCUGGCCAAUGAUAUGAGAGUGGAAGUGCCAUGUAUUGCUUUAGGACCCAGGAAAUUAAGAGUUCUCUACUCCUUUUUCCCGCCAUAGCAUCACCAGAAGCCCCAUGUUGCAGAGGUAGGAACAUGCAGCCUCGAUCUAUGAGUUACUGCUUGAAAGUGAGCUGUCCUGGAGAGCCAAGGGAACCAUAGCAGGCUUUGCAUGACCAAGAAAUUAACUUCUGAGUUUUGUUUUGAACCACUGACAUUAGAGGGUUGGUUUGUUUCUAGAACGUAGACUAACCUAUCCUAACUAAUAUGGAAACUUUGUUCAUGUAAAUAAGUAGGUAGG
This 897-nucleotide long non-coding RNA is filed under the name Equus caballus (horse). RNAcentral's name for it is "lncRNA (ENSECAG00000042844.2)". The record is from RNAcentral. Lineage: Eukaryota; Metazoa; Chordata; Mammalia; Perissodactyla; Equidae.